UUAGGUCCGCACUUCUAU
Molecule: unclassified non-coding RNA, 18 nt
Filed under: Mus musculus (house mouse)
Lineage: Eukaryota; Metazoa; Chordata; Mammalia; Rodentia; Muridae
Description: oocyte_clustered_small_RNA13227
Source: RNAcentral